Molecule: ribosomal RNA, 465 nt
Filed under: uncultured bacterium
Lineage: Bacteria
Description: partial 16S ribosomal RNA
Rfam family: Bacterial small subunit ribosomal RNA
Source: RNAcentral
CCUACGGGAGGCAGCAGUGGGGAAUAUUGCGCAAUGGGCGAAAGCCUGACGCAGCGACGCCGCGUGAGGGAUGAAGGUCUUCGGAUCGUAAACCUCUGUCAGCAGGGAAGAAAGGUCACUGUGCUAAUCAGCAGUGAAUUGACGGUACCUGCAAAGGAAGCACCGGCUAACUCCGUGCCAGCAGCCGCGGUAAUACGGAGGGUGCGAGCGUUAAUCGGAAUUACUGGGCGUAAAGCGCUCGUAGGCGGUAUGUCAAGUCAAGGGUGAAAUCCCCGCGCUCAACGUGGGAAGUGCCGUUGAAACUGGCAAACUGGAGUGUGUGAGAGGAUAGUGGAAUUCCAGGUGUAGGAGUGAAAUGCGUAGAUAUCUGGAGGAAAAUCAGUUGCGAAGGCGACUAUCUGGCACAUAACUGACGCUGAGGAGCGAAAGCGUGGGUAGCAAACAGGAUUAGAUACCCUGGUAGUC